RNAcentral lists this small RNA (1961 nucleotides) under Pan troglodytes (chimpanzee). Its description in RNAcentral is "retained intron". The record is from RNAcentral. Lineage: Eukaryota; Metazoa; Chordata; Mammalia; Primates; Hominidae.
CUAUUUGGACAGAGCUAACUUGUAGUUGGUGUGGGGAGUGCAAACUUUGCAAAGAAUUUGGUUCUUUUCUGGUGGUCUUAGCCUGAGGAUGUCAAGUGUGAGCCUAGAGGGUGACGUUUCCUCUCCUGGCUCCUUACCACCUGCCGUGAAGAUGAUCUACUCUGGCCUUUCUCUGUGGAAAAUGGCUGCAAAAUAAUGAAACAGGCUGUCACGGAAUUUUCUCCUCCUCUUUCUCCAGGGGUGUUGAAAUAGUCACUUCCUACAGCGAUGCGGAAACAUCUUGGGCUUUGGGGUCACACUUCCCCUGAGUUCAGAGCCUUCAUAGAUGUGUGGCAGGCUUCUUAGCUGAGUGACCUUGGGCAAGUUACUCUUAGUCUCUUCGUGCUUGACUUUCCUCGUCUAUAAGACGGGGUGAUGAUCCCGACCUUGCCAGUGGUAGAAAGCAGAGCAGCCGCGGGCCUCAUGCAAUGUGCAUGGUGCCUGGCAGCUGGUCGGUGCUCAGCACACAGAGCUGUGACGGGCCUCAUGCAAUGUGCAUGGUGCCUGGCAGCUGGUCGGUGCUCAGCACACAGAGCUGUGACGGGCCUCAUGCAAUGUGCAUGGUGCCUGGCAGCUGGUCGGUGCUCAGCACACAGAGCUGUGGCUGCCCCUGGUGCUGUUCCAGGGAUGCUGUAUUUUUAGGAUUUGCCAGCUUACGAGCCUCUCAAGCAUCAUCCCUUAGAAGUCAGCCUCGUUGUGGAUCCUCAGUUGUAUCACGUACCUCCCUCAUCAGAAUGGGCUCAUAAUAAUUUUUUGUGUUUCAUAAAGUCAGAUCCUCAGAGGACCGUAAUUGUCAAGGUUGAGUACUCAUAAAAAGGCUGCAGGCUCUGACAGCCUUAUCAGAAGCCACAGUCUCAGAGACACUGGGGACACAUGCCCGCCACUGAUGGAAUAGCCCGCUGAGGUUGAUACUUUGAAGGCAGCAACCUUGUUUUGGAUGUGUAGUCUUGGGGAUUUCCUUAAAAACAUAAAGUUCUUUACAUCACAGCCAUACGUUAGGUUUUAGUUUUCAUUUGCCUUGCCAGAGCUGUCCUUAUAAAAAUAACUUCUUCCCAUGUGUGCACAGAACUAUGUUGUGCUUCUGGACUCCACACUCCCCAGAUCCCAGUAUGACUACAUCUUGCCUCAAGUUUCUUUCACCGCAGUGGGCUACCAUAAACACAUCACCUUGAUUUUUAAUCCCACGAGGAAGCUGCCUGAACAGGACAUCGCACAAGGAUCCUACAUUGCCCUGCCAUUGACGCUGCUGGUUCUGCUGGCCGGUUACAACCAUGACAAGCUCAUUCCUUUGCUGCUGCAGUUGACAAGCCGGCUACAGGGAGUCCGCGCGCUCGGCCAGGCAGCCUCUGACAAUAGCGGCCCAGAAGAUGCAAAGAGACAAGCCAAGAAACAGAAGACAAGGCGGACGUGAGGAGGAAGGGGACAGUUGGAGUCUCACUUGGGACAGGCCACAGCCAGGGGUCUGGCCACCACCCGCCCGUGGGAUAAAAGCCAAAAGCAUGCGUCAGCUAACUUCAGCCUGUGCUGCUGGGCCCGCACCCCAUGUCCCUUGUCACUGUGGCAUCCUGCACCCAUCCUCACCCCUCCGUAGAGCCCGUCGUGCAAUGCAGUGAAUGGACCCUCCUGUCACUCUGCUGAACAGAAUUUAUUUUCUGAGUCAAAUAUAAUUUAUUAUUAUUUUUGUCAAAGAAGUAUUUAAGCUGUGCUGUGGUGUGAGAAUGUCAUUCUUGAUCUUCAGCCUUCAUUUGCAAGAAGAGUUCCAGUUGACGUGGUGUUUGGUUCCAUGGCGGGGUACCCUAGGGAUUCAUCUGUUUUCUUCACUUCCCUUUGCAUCUGAGAUCCUGCUGGAAACCACAGCAACCUCUAUCCACUAUUAGGAGGUAAAAAUCAAUAAAAUGGCCCAUUCAUUUGUGUUGUAGCUC